RNAcentral lists this ribosomal RNA (459 nucleotides) under uncultured bacterium. RNAcentral describes it as "partial 16S ribosomal RNA". It matches the Rfam family "Bacterial small subunit ribosomal RNA", at positions 339 to 795 of the family's 1533-position model. The record is from RNAcentral.
CUACGGGACGCACCAGUGAGGAAUAUUGGUCAAUGGGCGCGAGCCUGAACCAGCCAUCCCGCGUGCAGGAUGACGGCCUUAUGGGUUGUAAACUGCUUUUCUAUGCCAAGAAACCUGAUUACGUGUAAUCAGUUGCCGGUAGCAUAGGAGUAAGCAUCGGCUAACUCCGUGCCAGCAGCCGCGGUAAUACGGAGGAUGCAAGCGUUAUCCGGAUUCAUUGGGUUUAAAGGGUGCGCAGGUGGGCUUGUAAGUCAGUGGUGAAAUGCUGCCGCUUAACGGUAGAACUGCCAUUGAUACUGCGAGUCUUGAGUAUGGUUGAGGUAGGCGGAAUGUGUUGUGUAGCGGUGAAAUGCAUAGAUAUGACACAGAACGCCAAUUGCGAAGGCAGCUUACUAAGCCAUUACUGACGCUGAGGCACGAAAGCGUGGGGAGCGAACAGGAUUAGAUACCCGAGUAGUC